AGAGCGCACGGAGGAUGCCUUGGCACUAGGAGCCGAAGAAGGACGUGACAAACGACGAAACGCUACGGGGAGCUGUAAGUAAGCAAAGAUCCGUAGAUAUCCGAAUGGGGGAACCCACCGCUUUUAAAAGGGCGGUACGCGAAAGCGAGGUAACGCAGGGAACUGAAACAUCUAAGUACCUGUAGGAAGAGAAAGAAAAAUCGAUUUCCUAAGUAGCGGCGAGCGAAAGGGAAAGAGCCCAAACCAAUGUGCUUGCAUAUUGGGGUUGUAGGACUCUCAGAAAAACGUAUGACAAAGUAUAGUAGAACGAGCUGGAAAGUUAGACCGUAGAAGGUAAAAGUCCUGUAUACGAAAUGCUGAGUUGGCGUGAGAGAGCACCUGAGUACGGCGGAACACGAGGAAUUCCGUCGGAAUCUACCAGGACCAUCUGGUAAGGCUAAAUACUACCUAGUGACCGAUAGUGAACCAGUACCGUGAGGGAAAGGUGAAAAGAACCCCGGGAGGGGAGUGAAAGAGAACCUGAAACCGUGUGCUUACAAGUAGUCAGAGCCCUUUAGGGGGUGAUGGCGUGCCUUUUGUAGAAUGAACCGGCGAGUUACUUUAUCAUGCGAGGUUAAGUGGAAGACAUGGAGCCGAAGCGAAAGCGAGUCUUAAUAGGGCGAAAUAGUAUGAUGGAGUAGACCCGAAACCAAGUGAUCUACCCAUGGCCAGGUUGAAGUUUAGGUAACACUGAAUGGAGGACCGAACCAGGACACGUUGAAAAGUGUUUGGAUGAGCUGUGGGUAGCGGAGAAAUUCCAAUCGAACUUGGAAAUAGCUGGUUCUCUCCGAAAUAGCUUUAGGGCUAGCCUCGUUGUGAGUUUACUGGAGGUAGAGCACUGUUUGGACUAGGGGCCCAUCCCGGGUUACCGAAUUCAGACAAACUCCGAAUGCCAGAUAAAUAUCAACGGGAGUCAGACUGCGGGUGAUAAGGUUCGUAGUCGAAAGGGAAACAGCCCAGACCGCCAGCUAAGGUCCCAAAUUGUAUGUUAAGUGGAAAAGGAUGUGAUGAUGCACAGACAACCAGGAUGUUGGCUUAGAAGCAGCCACCAUUUAAAGAGUGCGUAAUAGCUCACUGGUCGAGUGACAUCGCGCCGAAAAUGUACCGGGGCUAAACAUACAACCGAAGCUGCGGAUAUAACUAAUGUUAUAUGGUAGGAGAGCGUUCUAACAUCAUAGAAGCCGAACUGGAAGGUGAGGUGGAGAGGUUAGAAGUGAGAAUGCCGGUGUGAGUAGCGAAAGAUAGGUGAGAAUCCUAUCCACCGAAAGACUAAGGUUUCCAGAGGAAGGCUCGUCCGCUCUGGGUAAGUCGGGACCUAAGGUGAAGCCGAUAGGUGAAGCCGAUGGACAACAGGUAGAAAUUCCUGUACCACCGAAUAUCGAUUGAGAGAAGUGGGGACAGAGGAGGCUAAUUGAUCGCCCUGAUGGAAUAGGGCGUCUAAGCACAAAGACUGACAAGUAGGCAAAUCCGCUUGUUUAAAGGUUGAAGUGUGAUGGGGAGCGAAAUAUAGUAGCGAAGUCAAUGAAGCCAAACUCUCAAGAAAAGCCGCUAUCGAGAUAAGAGGUGCCCGUACCGCAAACCGACACAGGUAGUUGGGAAGAGAAUUCUAAGGUGAGCGAGAGAACCAUCGUUAAGGAACUCGGCAAAAUGACCCCGUAACUUCGGGAGAAGGGGUGCCUACGAGAGUAGGCCGCAGUGAAUAGGCCCAAGCGACUGUUUAUCAAAAACACAGGUCUCUGCAAAACCGAAAGGUGAAGUAUAGGGGCUGACGCCUGCCCGGUGCUGGAAGGUUAAGAGGAGUGCUUAGCGCAAGCGAAGGUAUGAAUUGAAGCCCCAGUAAACGGCGGCCGUAACUAUAACGGUCCUAAGGUAGCGAAAUUCCUUGUCGGGUAAGUUCCGACCCGCACGAAAGGCGUAACGAUUUGGGCACUGUCUCAACGAUGGACUCGGUGAAAUCAUAGUACCUGUGAAGAUGCAGGUUACCCGCGACAGGACGGAAAGACCCCAUGGAGCUUUACUGUAGCUUGAUAUUGAAUUUUGAUGCAGUAUGUACAGGAUAGGUAGGAGCCUAAGAAUCAUGCACGCCAGUGUAUGAGGAGGCGUUGUUGGGAUACUACCCUUGCUGUAUUGAAAUUCUAACCCUCGGCAUAGAAAACCGGGAGACAGUGUCAGGUGGGCAGUUUGACUGGGGCGGUCGCCUC
RNAcentral lists this ribosomal RNA (2240 nucleotides) under human metagenome. Its description in RNAcentral is "bacterial LSU rRNA". It matches the Rfam family "Bacterial large subunit ribosomal RNA", at positions 14 to 2289 of the family's 2925-position model. The record is from RNAcentral.